GACGAACGCUGGCGGCGUGCCUAAUACAUGCAAGUAGAACGCUGAAGAGAGGAGCUUGCUCUUCUUGGAUGAGUUGCGAACGGGUGAGUAACGCGUAGGUAACCUGCCUUGUAGCGGGGGAUAACUAUUGGAAACGAUAGCUAAUACCGCAUAACAAUGGAUGACACAUGUCAUUUAUUUGAAAGGGCAAUUGCUCCACUACAAGAUGGACCUGCGUUGUAUUAGCUAGUAGGUGAGGUAACGGCUCACCUAGGCGACGAUACAUAGCCGACCUGAGAGGGUGAUCGGCCACACUGGGACUGAGACACGGCCCAGACUCCUACGGGAGGCAGCAGUAGGGAAUCUUCGGCAAUGGGGGCAACCCUGACCGAGCAACGCCGCGUGAGUGAAGAAGGUUUUCGGAUCGUAAAGCUCUGUUGUAAGUCAAGAACGAGUGUGAGAGUGGAAAGUUCACACUGUGACGGUAGCUUACCAGAAAGGGACGGCUAACUACGUG
RNAcentral lists this ribosomal RNA (496 nucleotides) under uncultured bacterium. Its description in RNAcentral is "partial 16S ribosomal RNA". It matches the Rfam family "Bacterial small subunit ribosomal RNA", at positions 28 to 507 of the family's 1533-position model. The record is from RNAcentral.